Long non-coding RNA from Anguilla anguilla (European eel), 1208 nucleotides. RefSeq lists it as uncharacterized. NCBI's taxonomy places the organism in Eukaryota, Metazoa, Chordata, Actinopteri, Anguilliformes, Anguillidae. The record is from RefSeq and is a predicted model, not a curated record. The transcript is spliced from 3 exons.
GCCAUCCCGAUGGUCCCUGUGCAUGAAUAGCAGAUGUACGGACUGCUGCAGUCUAAAACCGUUUCCAAGGGAACAGCUAUGGAGCUGACACAUCCGACCCUCCACAGACAGAGAGAACGGGGGCCCUGGUACAUGGAGUUCUUCUCACAGAUUUCAUGUGACCUCAACCUCGAUGGAGGAUGGAGCUCAUUUUCAGACUGGACAAAGACAACACAAAAUUGUAUUCAAGGCUUCUACAAGGCUUAGCUGAAACUUUCCUGCAAGCACACAAGGUCCAUGUGAGCAGUAUGGCCAUUUCCAAAAAGAGGAGAGGCCACCCAUAUCACGAUGUCAUCAAGAUUAACGGAAAGACAGUGGCUUUCCACUGCACGAAAGAUCUGCUCGGAUGCUUGCAAGUGCAUUUUAGUCUAACGGAGGCCAGGAACAGCCUUGGCAGAGGACUCCAUGUUUUCAUAAACAAGGUGUCAAGAGAGCAUGCACAGAUGAGUGGCGUGGCUGGGGUGGGUACUGCAGAUGUCAAACCCCUGCUCAGCCUCUGUGUGACCCCACGGGUACGCAGGCACCUUUGGGAUCCAGUCAUCACAAGCUGAGCUAUCAAUUCCCCUUCUGCUACCCACUCCUCUGGAAUAAUAAUAAUAAUAAUACAGAGUGGCUUAUGAUCUGUGGCGUCUGUGUUGGAUUGAGUGUGCAUUUAUAUGGGGGGUUUACAUAGUCCUUAUCACAUACAAACGCAACUGGAUCAGCAUUAUUAUCAGAGCAUGACCAGAGAUCAGGCUGUGGCAGGGGUGGGCAGGGUCUGGUGGGUUCUCAAGCACUGCUUUAAAUGAAUCUGUGAGCAUACUUGCUCUAGUAUAAAUGCCAAACACAGGCCUAAGAGAAGCUACCAGAGGUGUGAUCCUGUUUACCAUUGGGGGCGGGUCAUAGCACUACUAUAAAGCAAGAUCCCCAAACCAACCUGCGAAGGAGAAAAAUAGGUGAACAUUUUUUUCACUAAACGUUAUAAAGGUAUAAAGGAUUUUUACCUUUGAAGAUAAUCUGUCUGGUUUACACAUUCUUUGUAAAAACUUGUUAUUAUUGUUACUGCUAAAUACAUGUAUGUCACUACAUAGCAAUAACUUAUGUACAGUAAAUCCAUAAUGUAAUGACAUCAGUUAGCUUUAGCUUCCAUGUUCAAACCACUGCAUUGUAGCCAAUAGGGAGUAUAGGAU